RNAcentral lists this ribosomal RNA (1553 nucleotides) under Klebsiella pneumoniae. Its description in RNAcentral is "bacterial SSU rRNA". It matches the Rfam family "Bacterial small subunit ribosomal RNA". Lineage: Bacteria; Pseudomonadati; Pseudomonadota; Gammaproteobacteria; Enterobacterales; Enterobacteriaceae. The record is from RNAcentral.
AAAUUGAAGAGUUUGAUCAUGGCUCAGAUUGAACGCUGGCGGCAGGCCUAACACAUGCAAGUCGAGCGGUAACAGGAAGAGCUUGCUUCUCGGGUGACGAGCGGCGGACGGGUGAGUAAUGUCUGGGAAACUGCCUGAUGGAGGGGGAUAACUACUGGAAACGGUAGCUAAUACCGCAUAAUGUCGUAAGACCAAAGUGGGGGACCUUCGGGCCUCAUGCCAUCAGAUGUGCCCAGAUGGGAUUAGCUAGUAGGUGGGGUAACGGCUCACCUAGGCGACGAUCCCUAGCUGGUCUGAGAGGAUGACCAGCCACACUGGAACUGAGACACGGUCCAGACUCCUACGGGAGGCAGCAGUGGGGAAUAUUGCACAAUGGGCGCAAGCCUGAUGCAGCCAUGCCGCGUGUGUGAAGAAGGCCUUCGGGUUGUAAAGCACUUUCAGCGGGGAGGAAGGCGGUGAGGUUAAUAACCUCAUCGAUUGACGUUACCCGCAGAAGAAGCACCGGCUAACUCCGUGCCAGCAGCCGCGGUAAUACGGAGGGUGCAAGCGUUAAUCGGAAUUACUGGGCGUAAAGCGCACGCAGGCGGUCUGUCAAGUCGGAUGUGAAAUCCCCGGGCUCAACCUCGGGAACUGCAUUCGAAACUGGCAGGCUAGAGUCUUGUAGAGGGGGGUAGAAUUCCAGGUGUAGCGGUGAAAUGCGUAGAGAUCUGGAGGAAUACCGGUGGCGAAGGCGGCCCCCUGGACAAAGACUGACGCUCAGGUGCGAAAGCGUGGGGAGCAAACAGGAUUAGAUACCCUGGUAGUCCACGCCGUAAACGAUGUCGAUUUGGAGGUUGUGCCCUUGAGGCGUGGCUUCCGGAGCUAACGCGUUAAAUCGACCGCCUGGGGGAGUACGGCCGCAAGGUUAAAACUCAAAUGAAUUGACGGGGGCCCGCACAAGCGGUGGAGCAUGUGGUUUAAUUCGAUGCAACGCGAAGAACCUUACCUGGUCUUGACAUCCACAGAACUUUCCAGAGAUGAGAUUGUGCCUUCGGGAACUGUGAGACAGGUGCUGCAUGGCUGUCGUCAGCUCGUGUUGUGAAAUGUUGGGUUAAGUCCCGCAACGAGCGCAACCCUUAUCCUUUGUUGCCAGCGGUCCGGCCGGGAACUCAAAGGAGACUGCCAGUGAUAAACUGGAGGAAGGUGGGGAUGACGUCAAGUCAUCAUGGCCCUUACGACCAGGGCUACACACGUGCUACAAUGGCAUAUACAAAGAGAAGCGACCUCGCGAGAGCAAGCGGACCUCAUAAAGUAUGUCGUAGUCCGGAUUGGAGUCUGCAACUCGACUCCAUGAAGUCGGAAUCGCUAGUAAUCGUAGAUCAGAAUGCUACGGUGAAUACGUUCCCGGGCCUUGUACACACCGCCCGUCACACCAUGGGAGUGGGUUGCAAAAGAAGUAGGUAGCUUAACCUUCGGGAGGGCGCUUACCACUUUGUGAUUCAUGACUGGGGUGAAGUCGUAACAAGGUAACCGUAGGGGAACCUGCGGUUGGAUCACCUCCUUACCUUAAAGAA